AGGCAGCCUGCAGGGCGGGGGCGGCGCGGCUGGCCGGGGCGCCUUGCAGGUCCAGUGAGUCGCAGACGCUGAGGGCGCGGCGGCAUACGGCGGGCCGCUCCCGGCUGGGCAAGCCCAGACCUGGAGAGGCCGGGAGUCAGCCCAGCACGGAGAGAGAGGCGGCAAGCCUGGCCUGGAACACCCAGGAACGGCGGCGCCAGGGAACCAGCCUGCUGGGGCAGCCCCUGGAACCCUCAGAAAACAGGAAAUUCCAGCCCAGGGCUCCUCCUUGGAUCGGGGCAGAACAAGCCCGUCCCCUGGGGAAGACUCAGUCCCUCCCCCGGUGCGUCCCCGCCGGCCUCCUGACCUCGAUCCACACUGACGCGCCCAGCGGGACCCAGACACGCUGCUCCUUGCCCAGACCGGAAACCGUACUCGGGGCCCCCUGAGGACCUCCGGCCCUGCGCCCACCGCACCCCACCGGCAAGCCCUCUGCUUCCCAGCAGCCUGUGCCAAGGGGAAAGGCAGCCAGCCUGUGCACACCCGCUGUGCCCCUGAAGGGCCCUGCGCACUGCCGCCUUCGGGGGGGGGGGCGAGACUCAGAGUAAAGAGUGGGCGCUCUGCCUCUUCGCCCCAGUUCUGACACGUUUCCUGCAUGUCACACUGUUCGACGGUCUGACGUCCCACGAGCUGCGCAUCUGCUUCCCCAGCCCCGACUGGGAGCUUCCUUCCUCAGCCGUAUCAGGGCUCUCGUUUGUGUUCCCCCUAUUUUUACAAAAG
This is a long non-coding RNA of Phyllostomus hastatus (greater spear-nosed bat), 759 nucleotides long. RefSeq lists it as uncharacterized. The record is from RefSeq and is a predicted model, not a curated record. Lineage: Eukaryota; Metazoa; Chordata; Mammalia; Chiroptera; Phyllostomidae. The transcript is spliced from 3 exons.